CCUACGGGUGGCAGCAGUGGGGAAUAUUGGGCAAUGGGCGCAAGCCUGACCCAGCAACGCCGCGUGAAGGAAGAAGGCUUUCGGGUUGUAAACUUCUUUUCUCAGGGACGAAGAAAGUGACUGUACCUGAGGAAUAAGCCACGGCUAACUACGUGCCAGCAGCCGCGGUAAUACGUAGGUGGCAAGCGUUAUCCGGAUUUACUGGGUGUAAAGGGCGUGUAGGCGGGAGUGCAAGUCAGAUGGGAAAACUAUGGGGUCAACCCAUAGCCUGCAUUUGAAACUGUACUUCUUGAGGGCUGUAGAGGCAAUCGGAAUUCCGUGUGUAGCGGUGAAAGGCGUAGAUAUACGGAGGAACACCAGUGGCGAAGGCGGAUUGCUGGACAGUAACUGACGCUGAGGCGCGAAAGCGUGGGGAGCAAACAGGAUUAGAUACCCGAGUAGUC
This 443-nucleotide ribosomal RNA is filed under the name uncultured bacterium. Its description in RNAcentral is "partial 16S ribosomal RNA". It matches the Rfam family "Bacterial small subunit ribosomal RNA", at positions 338 to 795 of the family's 1533-position model. The record is from RNAcentral.